GCCGGCAUUGUAAAUAAGAAUUUGUUCUUAACUGACGUGCCUAGUUAAAUAAAGGUUUUUUUUUUUAAAGAAGGGGGAAAAAACUUUCAAAAUCACUUGCAGCCAAAGUCAUCAAAACUCAAACUCCUGUUCUGUUUUCAUUGCAGCUACAAAAGAAGGAACACACUGUUUGUGCGCUUAGUAUUGUGCCAAGUGUUUUGUCUUAUUUGAUGUGUUAAAUGACUGCUUUCAUAUCACAUGAAUAGACAGCACAACAAAAAGAACAAAGGAUCAGAACACUGACAUGUUACUGACCGCUGGAAAAAGGCUGUGAUGGGCGUGAGAGGUUUGUAUGUUGAAUAUGUGAGAGGUUGGUCUGUUAAACGAGUGCAUCUGCUCUGUCUCCUCUUGCACUGUCUUAUAGGAUGGUCUUACUGUAGCUACAGUACUACACAAGCAGUAAGUCCUUGCUGGUAAAAAAAAAAUCUCUAAAUACUUAUAUUUUCCAACUCAGGCCAGGUAUGAAAGGGUUGAGAAGAAUGAGGCUUGGUUUUCUUUUGAGUCUGUGACCCUGAUGUCAUUUAUUUUUAAAAGUUCAGAGCUAAAUUACUCCUGAGUUUUUGUACGGGGUUAGCGACGCUUGAGCCCUACAUUCUACAAGCAGAACAUUUUACAUGUUUUCUACUUCCCUGCUCUUUAGUAAUGAGUUGCACUCAUUUGAACUAAUGCCUCUGACAUUAAAAUACUCUAAUUGAGGUGAUUAUAUGGGUAGUUUAGCUAGGUCUUACUGUUAGUCUUAAGGACACUCAUACUUACUCAUAAGUAAUCUCUAAAGGUGGGAUAUGUUUGUGUUUUCUCCCCAUUCCCGGACUUCUCUUCCUGGUUUUUGAGGAAUGUGUGUACAGCAUCUACCGUUUUAAAUACAUCUCUGCUAAAUAGAUGAUACUGUUGUCUAACCUGUUUGAAAACACACCAUGUACUAUGUCACCAAAUGCAGAUAGACUGUAUCUAUAAGUGUUUGUGGUGUCACUUUAGAGGUACUGUACAGUACAGACCAAAUGUGAAACAAUCUGGACCUGAAUAGUGUUUCAAUGUUCCCUUAUACAUAUCAGUGACACUUUUUAAUAGCUAAAAAAAAAACUACAACCAGCCUUAGUGUCUGACCUGAGUGAUACUGUUCAUACACAGUGACAGAAUACCUCUUAUUGUGAAGUUCAAGUACACAUCCUAACAUUGAGAAGUCUGUACUAUAGCCUGAUUUUAGCAUUGAUUGUAUGCAAACAAGUAGACCGUUGGUGGACGAAGAGACACUUGCCUAUGAAAUCUGGUCUUCAAAGCUUUACAAUCCUCCCUGUGCUCUGGUCCCUGUACAGAGUAGGCAGAAUAAUACAUUUGACAUUUGUAAGCUUGCACAAUUAUGACAUGCAGAGGGGUAGGCGAUCUGUCUUUAAUGUGAUUAAUGUAUUAUAUAAUUCUUAAACUAUUAAACAGUCAUUUUUCUGUUACUCAGUAUCCUGUUAUUUGUUUGCAUGCAAGUAUAAUGUGUGAAGGCUCUCUAAUGGAGGGAUGUUGUAGUCUCAUUUUUUUUGUUUCAUAUUCUG
Long non-coding RNA from Oncorhynchus tshawytscha (Chinook salmon), 1580 nucleotides. Lineage: Eukaryota; Metazoa; Chordata; Actinopteri; Salmoniformes; Salmonidae. The record is from Ensembl.